GUCUGCAGCUUCACUCCUGAGCCAGUGAGACCACGAACCCACCAGAAGGAAAAAACUUCAAACAUAUCCGAACAGCAAAAGGAACAGACUCCGGACACGCCACCUUUAAGAACUGUAACACCCACUGCAAGGGUCUGCGGCUUCAUUCUUUAAGUCAGUGAGACCAAGAACCCGCCAAUUCCGGACCCAAGAUCACAAAUCUGAAACCAACCAGCAAUAUGACCCUUGGCAAUUUACCUAACACCCGCGAACCUCAGUUUCCUAACCUGUAAGUUGGGGGUGAUAAUACCAAUUUCCAAAAAGAUGUUGUGAGCAAUAAUGCAAUACUAUGAAUAAAGCAAUUGAUGGAGGGCCUGGCUAUUGCUGAUUAUCAUCAUCAAGCUCUUUGUCUAAUAGCAUUUGGGGAAAGGAAUGAAAUUCCCAGAUGAGAGACAAAGUUGACCAUCAGAGUCUGCAGAGUUUGCAUACCCACAUGGUAUCAGAGGUCUCCAGUAAACGCAGUUACUCCUGGGAUCCAUGAAGACAGGACAAACAGUGAGCUGGUAGCAGCAAAAGCUAAUCAAGUUAAUUGAGAUUCUAUGACCAGGCUCUGAUGUCAGCACAACCCAUUAUUUUGGAGAGUUCUUUCCGGCCUGAAAGUGAUGCUUAUUGCUUUAUUCACAAUCUACUGGCAAGAACUCAGCCACGAGGCCACACAUGAUCUCAAGGGAUGCCAAAAAAACAUAAAUUUAAAAAAUACAUCACAUGUAAUGAAAUGAAGCCUAGCCACCUGCCCAGGAAGAAGAGGAAAUGGGAUCAAUUAUCAUUCACCAGUGCCACACUGUCCAAGCUGGCUUCACAGAAGCCUCAGUUGAGUCAGUGCCAGCCCUACUCUCCUCCCUGGUACUUAAUGGUCUGUCAACAGCAGUGAUGCAGAAGCAAGGGUGCUGGAAUGGAGACAGGAGUCCUAGUGCUGACUGCCACUGGCUGUAUGACUCUGGGGACUACCAUGAAUCCUACUUACCGCACUGGAGAGCUGUGCAGAUGGAAGGAAGUGGGAGAUGUGGAAACACUUUCAACAACUGAAGCAGCAGGCCAAGAAAAGGUGUCAAUAGCUGUGCUUUUGCCCACAAAAAAGUGAGUCUUCUUCAUUAAUGUAUGUCUUGAACAUGGAACCCGUCCCCUCCAGGUUGUUGACUGGGCUGUGCCCCCUGUUGUCAGAGAAGUGUCAGUGUCUGGGACCAUCUACUGGUGAUAUUUCCCUGCUCAGAAGAGUCAUGACCACAGACCCCAGGCAUUUCCUCUUGGCAGGCACUGUGCCCAGAGUUUUAGGAACAGGCUCACUGAGUCCAUACAUCAGAAGGUAGGUCCUAGGGCCACUCUUGUACAGAAAAGGAAAUGAACCUUGGAGAAGCAGGGGCCACACUCGAGGCUGUAUGGCUACUGAGGGGCAGAGCCAGAUCCCAAACCCCUCACUCCAACAUGGUGUGUGACUGUGUCCAUCUGUGACACAUGCAGCUCCCUUCAGCCUGGAAAUGAACCAAAACUUCAAAUCCUUUGGGCUUCACUUGGAGCCAUUUUGUUCAGGCAGAGAUUCUGGGGCCCUGGGAAGUGGUGAUAUCAGAGGUAGUGGAUGGGUUCUGUCUUCACUGGUCCCAGAGUCCAGGUGCUGUGUGUUCCAGUCCCCUCUCAAAGCCCACCAAUCUCUCCAAGAAGAGCUCCAGGUGGGAGCUUUGCCUGGCUUAGGGCCAUAACUGCAGAUCUGAGAUUAGCACCUGCCAUGCAUCCCGUGCUCCAUCAACAUGCACUGGAUGAAGGCUGCAGGCAGGACU
Long non-coding RNA from Homo sapiens (human), 1811 nucleotides. RefSeq lists it as uncharacterized. Lineage: Eukaryota; Metazoa; Chordata; Mammalia; Primates; Hominidae. The record is from RefSeq and is a predicted model, not a curated record. The transcript is spliced from 3 exons.